This is a long non-coding RNA of Mercenaria mercenaria, 610 nucleotides long. RefSeq lists it as uncharacterized. Lineage: Eukaryota; Metazoa; Mollusca; Bivalvia; Venerida; Veneridae. The transcript is spliced from 2 exons. The record is from RefSeq and is a predicted model, not a curated record.
UGUUAUCUUUAUGGCCAUUUUAUGUCAGUUUACAUUUUUUCAGUUCAUUUACUGAUUUUUUUGUUAAGCCUGCAUUAGACAGCUAUGAGAAAAAUCCAUUGUACAUGUUUUUCCCCCAGUUAGUCUUCACCUAUCCCUGAUGUGGGUAAGUUUUAGUUAUUGUGUAGGCCAUCCAGUGUUUUACAAAAGGAGAGUAUCAAUUUUUUUUUGACCCGAAAAAUAAUGGAGAAAUAUAUGGUAAUUCAUAGCAAAAAUAUUAAAUGUAUAUUUAGGGAACUGCAAUUGAUUGCCAAAGAACAAAGAUAAUUGUUAUUAAUAGUCUGGUUUAACAAAUUUGACUUUCCCCAAAUUUUUGUGUUAGAACACUUACAAUACAGACCCUGGCUCAAACUAGAAUCAGUUUGGUUGUAUGGCUUACCUAACUUAUAGUGUACAUUACAUGUAUCAUUCUUGUUUUUUAUUCAUUUGCUUGUAACUGUAGGAAUGUAUUCUGUAGAAUGCCAGCAUUGCUGAUUAUAAAUAGCACUGUUGAAAAUAAAAUAUUAUUAAAAAAAAAAAAAGAAUAUUACUGUUUAUAAGAAUUGAUUCUUUAAUAAAAUGUUUAUUUAUA